GACACCUAUAGCUCAGUUGGUUAGAGCAUGGUGCUGAUAAUGCCAAGGUUGCAGGUUCGAUCCCCAUAGGAGACA
Molecule: non-coding RNA, 75 nt
Organism: Podarcis lilfordi (Lilford's wall lizard)
Lineage: Eukaryota; Metazoa; Chordata; Lepidosauria; Squamata; Lacertidae
Source: the annotation of a GenBank genome assembly